Molecule: long non-coding RNA, 284 nt
Organism: Pangasianodon hypophthalmus (striped catfish)
Lineage: Eukaryota; Metazoa; Chordata; Actinopteri; Siluriformes; Pangasiidae
Exons: 3
Source: RefSeq, a predicted model, not a curated record
UAAGCCAGUUCGAGUGUCAGUGAAAGUAAAACGCAGCAGCUCCAUUUUGUGUCGAGGGGAAAAUAAACCAUUUCAGGAGUAAAAACACAGGUUUGAUUUAACACACCGAUGUAGGAGUGAAGUAAACGUGUGUCCUGCUGUAAUCUGGAGAAGGAGACAUGACCUCCAACAUGAGUGUGUCUGGAAAACAGGACUUAAAGAAAGACGAGAGAAUGAUGGAGGGAAAGAGAUCAGACUCACCAGAACCCAGCUGUGUGUCCAUGAAGAGUGACUGGUCAGUGGGA